RNAcentral lists this ribosomal RNA (807 nucleotides) under uncultured bacterium. RNAcentral's name for it is "bacterial SSU rRNA". It matches the Rfam family "Bacterial small subunit ribosomal RNA", at positions 31 to 831 of the family's 1533-position model. The record is from RNAcentral.
GAACGCUAGCGGCAGGCUUAACACAUGCAAGUCGAGGGCAGCGCGGGUGUAGCAAUACAUCUGGCGGCGACCGGCGGAAGGGUGCGUAACGCGUGAGCAACAUUCCCGCAUCUGGGGGAUAAGCACUGGAAACGGUGUCUAAUACCCCAUAACAACAGGAGUCACAUGACUUUUGUUCGAAAGCUGCGACGGAUGCGGAUUGGCUCGCGUGACAUUAGCUAGUCGGCGGGGUAACGGCCCACCGAGGCGACGAUGUCUAGGGGUUCUGAGAGGAAGGUCCCCCACACUGGAACUGAGACACGGUCCAGACUCCUACGGGAGGCAGCAGUGAGGAAUAUUGGUCAAUGGGCGGAAGCCUGAACCAGCCAUGCCGCGUGAAGGAAUAAAGCCCUAUGGGUCGUAAACUUCUUUUGUGGUGGAGCAAUAAGGGCUACGCGUAGUCCGAUGAGAGUACAUCACGAAUAAGCAUCGGCUAACUCCGUGCCAGCAGCCGCGGUAAUACGGAGGAUGCAAGCGUUAUCCGGAUUUAUUGGGUUUAAAGGGUGCGUAGGCUGUGCCGCAAGUCGGGGGUGAAAGCCCGGGGCCCAACCCCGGAACUGCCCUUGAUACUGCGGCGCUGGAGUUCGGAUGCCGUGGGAGGAAUGAGUAGUGUAGCGGUGAAAUGCAUAGAUAUUACUCAGAACACCGAUUGCGAAGGCAUCUCACGAAUCCGACACUGACGCUGAGGCACGAAAGCGUGGGGAUCAAACAGGAUUAGAUACCCUGGUAGUCCACGCAGUAAACGAUGAUGACUAACUGUCGGCGAUA